CGACAUGAAAAUACAAAGAUAAUUUUUGCUCAGUAAUUAACUCGAUAAAGCUUCGUUAUUCAACUCCCAAGAAUGGACACGGAAGCAAAGGUUCCCAGCACAAGGAGAAGAGAUCUCCCUCCCAUUCCUCAAGGACAGAGGCGGGGACCACGAGCAUUGCCAUCUAUGCCAAGUCAGGACACAGCAGAGGAGAUUCCUGCUCCAAAGAGUAGGAAAAAGAAGGUCAAGAGGGAUGUGGGAGAGUGUGAUGAACAUGAUGGUG
Cyprinus carpio (common carp) is the source of this 262-nucleotide long non-coding RNA. RefSeq lists it as uncharacterized. The record is from RefSeq and is a predicted model, not a curated record. NCBI's taxonomy places the organism in Eukaryota, Metazoa, Chordata, Actinopteri, Cypriniformes, Cyprinidae. The transcript has 5 exons.